UAUAUUUUUUUCUUUUCAUUUUAGCGUUUCUUUCGAAGAGAGUUAUUGCUUUACGUUCUUGUUUAAAUUUUACAAGUGACCACCUCAUCACCAUGCGACGAUGUUCAUUAACAUUUUACCCACCGGAUAAUCAAAUUCUUUCUCCAUCCUUGAAAUCUGUGAGCCUUCGGGGAAAUAAAAUAACUUAUCUUUCCUCGGAAGCAUUUGCCCAUCUUACUUUGCUCAUAUCUCUCGAUUUAGGGGAAAACAAGAUCCCGUGGAUUGACAGCUAUGUUUUUUCAGACCUUAAGAACCUUGAAUACUUGUA
Long non-coding RNA from Zophobas morio, 307 nucleotides. RefSeq lists it as uncharacterized. The record is from RefSeq and is a predicted model, not a curated record. The transcript has 4 exons. Lineage: Eukaryota; Metazoa; Arthropoda; Insecta; Coleoptera; Tenebrionidae.